RNAcentral lists this long non-coding RNA (4073 nucleotides) under Gallus gallus (chicken). Lineage: Eukaryota; Metazoa; Chordata; Aves; Galliformes; Phasianidae. The record is from RNAcentral.
UUCCUGCCGCGCGCGGGGACGGGGCUGGAGCUGGGGACAGAGAUGGGACAAAGGCAGAGAGGGUGGUGGGAAUGGGGACGGGGACGGGGACAGGGGACUAAAAUGGGAAUAGGGACAGGGAUGGGAAUGAGGACGGGGACAGACCCCAUGGGGACGCCACCCCCAGGCGCAGCGGAACCCCAAAAAAGCACCACAGGACACCGAUGUCACUGCAGUGCCAGGCUCUGAUCCCAGGAGGUGACACAGGGACGCCCCGCUGCCACCCCCCUCCAGCGUUACAGCGUCACCACUAGAGAGAGGCGGCCGGGGGGGGCUUGGUGUCCUCCACCUGGAUGAAGAGUGCUGGAAGAGAAAGAGCAGUGAUGGUGACACCGUGUGACGACGUGGCGGUGGGGUCGCAGUGCCCCCUGCGAAGUGCCACGUGCUGUGGGGAGCCCCCGUGUCACCCAGAGGCACAGUUCUGUGGGAUGGUCUCAGUGUCCCCAGCCCCGUCCCCGCAGCACCACAUGUCCUCACCGGUGGCCUCGGCGUACAGCGUGUCCCGUUUGGUGUCACGCACGUGGCAGGACAGGAAGAUCUUGCGUCCCUCGUGCCGCUCCAUGCGGCUGUCGGCCACCACCACGGCACCCACUGGCACGGGGCUGAAGGACAAGGAGGGGACAACGGCGUGGGGCUGGGAACAGAGAUGGGGACGGCGGCAGAAAGAGGAGUGGGGUAAGGACAGCCAGGGAUGGGGACAAGGACAGGGAUGGGGACGGGGAUGAGGACAGGGAGGGGGGACAAUGACGCAGCAUCCCCCGCAGCAUGGGGACACUGUGGAGCGAUGUCCCCAUGCAGUGACACUCACGCCAGGUAGCUGAUGCUCAGCUUGGCCGUCAUCACCGAGGCUUUGGCCACUGCCAGCGCGCACGUCCCCACUGUGCUGUCAAUGAGGGUGGCGAUGGCACCACCGUGCGCGAAGCUGUGGGGACACGGUGAGCACACGGGGACAGGGGCGAGGACGGGGAUGGGGACGCGGCCUCACCUACCCGUGGUGGCCCUCCAGGUAGGGUCCCAGCUGGCACAGGCACUGCGUGCGAUGUCCAGAGGCGUGCAGGAAGAUGGCAUACUCAAAGCCAGCGCCCUCCUCAUCCACGCUGCGCAGGAACAGCCGCGGCCCUGGCCUCGUCACCACCCCCACCGCCAUCUGCACCACCUCUGGGAGGUAGUCGAGGCCACGGCGGUAGGAGGGGAUGCGGCGCCAGGAGCCGUCGGCAGCGCGGCGCAGCAGACGCUGGAACUGCUCACACAUGGCCGCGCUCCACCCGGUGUUGGGGACAGCCAAGUCCUGCGGGGACACCGAGCACAGCGCCGUGGGGGGGGCGCGGCCCAACCCGUGGGCCACCGCCGCGCGCGCCCCCGCCCCGCAGCUCCGCCACAUGGCGCGAGGUGACGUCACCGAGAUGACGCAACUCCCGCGACGACGUCACUCCGGCGCUGACGUCACUCCGCCCCCGCGUGACCCCGCUCCUCGCCGCUGUCGCGCCGCGAUGACGUCACGACGACGCGCCGGGCCCCGAGGUCGGAGAUCUCCGCGCGCCGCUGCGCCCCCCGGCGCCCCCCGCCCCGCCCCGCCCCUACCGCGGUGCUGCGAACCGCGACGCCGUCACAGCGCUGGAGGCGCCCGCGGGCGGCGGUGGGGGCGGAGCCGCCGUUAGGCCGCUUCCGGGGAGCGCGGGGUUCGGCCCCGCCCCGCAGGGCGCGCGGGGACCCUCAGGGCCCCGUAGGGCCCCACAGAACCCCGUAGGGCCCCGCAGAGCCUCCGUGGAGCACCGUACAGCCCCGCACGGCACCGAACUCUAUGAGACGCCACGGAGCCCCGUUCAGCCCCGCGCUGCCCCCAGGGCCCCCGAUGGGCUCCUUUACACCGCCCUGUGCCACCCUACACAUCCCCUACGGAACGCUGCAGAUCCCCAUACAGCCCCACAGCUCCCUAUAAACCACUGCACGGGCCCACGCCGCCCUGUACCGCCGCGCAGUCCUUACGGAGACUCGCGCAGCCUCCAUACAGCGCCAUACUGCCCCCAAGCGGCCCCUGUAGGCUCCUCAGGUGAGCCUGCGUUGAUGGGGACGUGGAGAUGGGAACCCCACGGGGAGGAUAUGGGGACGGGGACCUCGCAGCGACAGGGAUGGGGGGACUGGGACACAAAGAUGGGCACCCCAGAACGAUGGGGACAAGAAUGAGAGGACUGCACGGUGAUGGGGACCGCAGGGACAUGGAAACAGGGAUCCCAUAAUGAUGGAAGCACAAAGGUGUGGACAUGGGGUGAUGGGGACCCCACAGGGACGGGGAUAUGGGGCCGGGAGCCCCACAGUGAAAGGGCUUUAGGGAUGAGAACCCCGUGGUGAUGGGGACUUGGUGCUGAUAGGGAUAUGGGGAUGGGAACCCCCUAGUGAUGAGGACCUGAGGGGACCCACCCCAAGGCAGAGGCCACAGCAGAGUCAUAUAAAACACUUUAUUGGGGCUGCGGGGCCUUCUCUCACUUCCGCCCCUUCUGCUUCAUGUGCACCACGAAGUAGUCAUUGCAGGCGAUGGUCAGUCCAGCCACCAGUGAGAAGAAGCUCUGGAAGCCCACUUUGCCAUCCCGGCACUGGUCCAGGUCCUUCAUGAUCUUAUCCAGCGCCAUAGGGUCGCGCUGGUUCUCCAGGAAUCCGGGGAACUCCUUCUCCAUCAGCGCACGCAGGUCCUCCUUGCUCAGGUAGUUCUUGUCACCCGCGUAUUUGUGGAAGGUGAACAUCAGCGUCUCCAUGGCGUGCUCCAUCUGGGACGGCAUGGUGGCGGCUGUGGGGUCGCGCGGCGCAGAUCGGGGCACUGCGGAGUGGUGGCACCGCCCGGGAUAGGCACGGAGGGGGCGGGACAGCCCCGGGGGGGGGACCCGGGGGGGCCCGGGGCUGACUCAGUCACUCCCGCCCGCAGCGCUCCGCCUUAACCCCUUCCUGCCCGGCCCCCCCAGUGUGUCACUUGAACGCACGUCGCUCCUCAUGGCAGUCCUGGGGAUGGGAACAGCACUGGGGAAGGGGACACCUCUGGACAGAACUAUCCUUGGGGACAAGGCCACCUUUGGGUACAGGGCCAUCCCCAGGGUUAGGGCCACACUUAGGGGCCCAGCUCAGGGAUGUGGCCCUAACCCUGGGGACAGGGCCACACGUGGAGACAGGACCACCUCAGAGGCUGUGGCCACUCUUGGGGAGAGAGCCAUCCUUUGGGUCAAAGACACCUUUGGGGACAGGAACGUACUUAGGGACAUGGCUUUCUUUGGGGACAUGGCCACCCUUUUUGGGGACAGAGCUACACUUGGAGACGUGGCUGUCUCUGGGGACUCGGCCACACUUGUGUGCAGAGCCAUCUUUGAGGACAGGACCACACCUGGGGACAGGGUCACCUGUAGGGACAGUCACGCACAGGGACAGGGCUGCACAGGGGAACAUGGCUCUCUUUGGGGCAGGGCCACCCCUGGGGACAGUGACACCACUGAGAACAGUGCCAAUCUCUUUGGGGACAGCUUCUUUCCCCAGUGAGGCUGCACGUGCCCUUCGUUACCGCUAAUUGCACCUGGUGCCUGGCAGCACCCAGCAGGCACUCUGCCAUCAGCUGCCCACGCAGCGCGUGGGGCAAUUAGAAGAGCUAAUUACUGGGGGGUUGCCCUAACCCCCCCCAAUAAAUAAGGCCCUGAAGUGAGAUGGGGCCCCUGUGGUGCCCUCCCAGUUCUCAGCCCCCACCCUACCCCCAGGGCCACCCCUUGCCUAUCCCCUACCCCAAAUGGUCCCCCAUUUCCCACAUCUCACCCCCAUACCCCAAAGGCCUCCCCCAAAACUAAGACUCUCCCCUCCCGUUACCCCCGUGAUCCCCUCCUAUCCCUUCGCUGUCCCCUCUCUGUUCCUCUGUCCCCACUCAAGAUGGCGGCGCCUCCUCACACCCCCUUCUGCCCUCACCCAAUAUGGCGGCAGCACCACAAUGCUCUGAAAUAGCGAUGAAGUCAACGCCCCGUGCUCCGGAUGUGCCCGCCCGCUUGCCCUCAUCCAAUAUGGCUCCG